Molecule: long non-coding RNA, 200 nt
Filed under: Ananas comosus (pineapple)
Lineage: Eukaryota; Viridiplantae; Streptophyta; Magnoliopsida; Poales; Bromeliaceae
Description: long non-coding RNA (ACOM_LNC007972)
Source: RNAcentral
CAAUUUAUUCAAUUUUCGUUUAUUUUCUUUCUUUUUAGAAAUAAACUUAACUGAAAAUGUGAAUCAAUUAGGAUUCGAAAUUUGGACCUCGGGUAUCAACCAUCAAGUCUUUUGUCUCUUGCGCUAGGGACAGUCGGUUUAUUUUACGGUUUUGUUAAACAAAUUGUGCAUGCGAUAGCUUAAUUUGUGUGAAAGAAUUU